Molecule: unclassified non-coding RNA, 378 nt
Filed under: plant metagenome
Description: partial contains 5.8S ribosomal RNA, internal transcribed spacer 2, and large subunit ribosomal RNA
Rfam family: 5.8S ribosomal RNA (bases 1-105)
Source: RNAcentral
GAAAUGCGAUAAGUAAUGUGAAUUGCAGAAUUCAGUGAAUCAUCGAAUCUUUGAACGCACCGUGCGCUCCUUGGUAUUCCUUGGAGCAUGCCUGUUUGAGUAUCAUGAAAUCUUCAAAGUAAAUCUUUUGUUAACUCAAUUGGUUUCUACUUUGGUAUUGGAGGUCUUUGCAGCUUCACACCUGCUCCUCUUUGUUCAUUAGCUGGAUCUCAGUGUUAUGCUUGGUUCCACUCGGCGUGAUAAGUUAUCUAUCGCUGAGGACACUGUAAAAGGUGGCCAAGGUAAAUGCAGAUGAACCGCUUCUAAUAGUCCAUUGACUUGGACAAUACUUUUAUGAUCUGAUCUCAAAUCAGGUAGAACUACCCGCUGAACUUAAGC